CUACCCCAGAGUUUGGAAUAACCUGCCGAAAGGCGGGCUAAUACUGGAUAGAGCGACGGAAUCCGUAAUCGGAUUUUUCGGGAAAGGGAGCCUGUAAGGGCCCUCGCUUUGGGAUGAGCCUGCGUCUCAUUAGCUAGUUGGUGAGGUAACAGCUCACCAAGGCUUUGAUGAGUAGCUGGUCUGAGAGGAUGAUCAGCCACACUGGAACUGAAACACGGUCCAG
This 223-nucleotide ribosomal RNA is filed under the name uncultured bacterium. RNAcentral describes it as "partial 16S ribosomal RNA". It matches the Rfam family "Bacterial small subunit ribosomal RNA", at positions 126 to 334 of the family's 1533-position model. The record is from RNAcentral.